Branchiostoma floridae (Florida lancelet) is the source of this 465-nucleotide long non-coding RNA. RefSeq lists it as uncharacterized. The transcript has 3 exons. The record is from RefSeq and is a predicted model, not a curated record. Lineage: Eukaryota; Metazoa; Chordata; Leptocardii; Amphioxiformes; Branchiostomatidae.
CACGUCCAAUGGGAAGGUUGGGACGAUGAAAGCGGGAUAGCUGAGUAUGAAGUUGGCCUCAGCAGUACCGAGUUAGGAACAGUUUCUCCGGACAUCCACCCUUACACGUCAACAAAGUCCCACCCUGAGCUCACGCUGUACCACCCGAACCUGGCGCAGGGGGCGCUGUUUUACAUCGUCAUCCGGGCUACGAACAGGGCUCUCCUGUCAACUUCAAAGGUGUUUGGUCCUGUAACUGUUGACGUCACUCCGCCAGUCAUCGACACACCGAUCAACGUGACACACACGACUUUCAACACGACAUCCGGCAAUGAAGACUUCCUGGUCCCUACGUGGUCGGAGGGCUCAAUCUAUGACACAGAAGAUCUGGCAGAUCUGGAACUCGAAGUAGCUGCUGGUCACUCUCCAGGGGGUACAGAGCUGUUUGCGUUUGCCCCCGUGACGUCAAUCCUCGAGUCAAACUCU